GGGAUUCGACCUCCUGGCAUAUUCCGCCUGGACCGACUGCUAUCGGAUNGAGAUUNAGCCAUGCGAGUCGAACGUCCCCCUGCUGCGGGGGGCGUGGCGUACGGCUCAGUAACACGUAGUCAACCUGCCCUGGAGACAUGGACAACCCCGGGAAACUGGGAUUAAUCCGUGAUAGGUCACCUCAUCUGGAAGGAGAGAUGGCUUAAAGGGGUGCGCGGGCUUCUUCUGCGUAUUCGCUCCAGGAUGGGACUGCGUCCGAUCAGGCUGUUGGCGGGGUAAUGGCCCACCAAACCUGUAACCGGUACGGGCCUUGAGAGAGGUGGCCCGGAUAUUGACACUGAGAGAAGGGUCCAGGUCCUACGGGGCGCAGCAGGCGCGAAACCUUCGCAAUGCGCGAAAGCGUGACGAGGUUAAUCCGAGUGACUUCCGCUGAGGAGGUCUUUUGUCAGCUGUAAAUAGGCAGGCGAAUAAGGGGAGGGCAAGCCUGGUGU
This 491-nucleotide ribosomal RNA is filed under the name uncultured archaeon. RNAcentral describes it as "bacterial SSU rRNA". It matches the Rfam family "Archaeal small subunit ribosomal RNA", at positions 1 to 458 of the family's 1478-position model. The record is from RNAcentral.